AAAUUGAAGAGUUUGAUCAUGGCUCAGAUUGAACGCUGGCGGCAGGCCUAACACAUGCAAGUCGAACGGUAACAGGAAGAAGCUUGCUUCUUUGCUGACGAGUGGCGGACGGGUGAGUAAUGUCUGGGAAACUGCCUGAUGGAGGGGGAUAACUACUGGAAACGNNNNNNNNNNAACUGCCUGAUGGAGGGGGAUAACUACUGGAAACGGUAGCUAAUACCGCAUAACGUCGCAAGACCAAAGAGGGGGACCUUCGGGCCUCUUGCCAUCGGAUGUGCCCAGAUGGGAUUAGCUAGUAGGUGGGGUAACGGCUCACCUAGGCGACGAUCCCUAGCUGGUCUGAGAGGAUGACCAGCCACACUGGAACUGAGACACGGUCCAGACUCCUACUACUGGAAACGGUAGCUAAUACCGCAUAACGUCGCAAGACCAAAGAGGGGGACCCUCGGGCCUCUUGCCAUCGGAUGUGCCCAGAUGGGAUUAGCUUGUUGGUGGGGUAACGGCUCACCAAGGCGACGAUCCCUAGCUAGUCUGAGAGGAUGACCAGCCACACUGGAACUGAGACACGGUCCAGACUCCUACGGGAGGCAGCAGUGGGGAAUAUUGCACAAUGGGCGCAAGCCUGAUGCAGCCAUGCCGCGUGUAUGAAGAAGGCCUUCGGGUUGUAAAGUACUUUCAGCGGGGAGGAAGGGAGUAAAGUUAAUACCUUUGCUCAUUGACGUUACCCGCAGAAGAAGCACCGGCUAACUCCGUGCCAGCAGCCGCGGUAAUACGGAGGGUGCAAGCGUUAAUCGGAAUUACUGGGCGUAAAGCGCACGCAGGCGGUUUGUUAAGUCAGAUGUGAAAUCCCCGGGCUCAACCUGGGAACUGCAUCUGAUACUGGCAAGCUUGAGUCUCGUAGAGGGGGGUAGAAUUCCAGGUGUAGCGGUGAAAUGCGUAGAGAUCUGGAGGAAUACCGGUGGCGAAGGCGGCCCCCUGGACGAAGACUGACGCUCAGGUGCGAAAGCGUGGGGAGCAAACAGGAUUAGAUACCCUGGUAGUCCACGCCGUAAACGAUGUCGACUUGGAGGUUGUGCCCUUGAGGCGUGGCUUCCGGAGCUAACGCGUUAAGUCGACCGCCUGGGGAGUACGGCCGCAAGGUUAAAACUCAAAUGAAUUGACGGGGGCCCGCACAAGCGGUGGAGCAUGUGGUUUAAUUCGAUGCAACGCGAAGAACCUUACCUGGUCUUGACAUCCACGGAAGUUUUCAGAGAUGAGAAUGUGCCUUCGGGAACCGUGAGACAGGUGCUGCAUGGCUGUCGUCAGCUCGUGUUGUGAAAUGUUGGGUUAAGUCCCGCAACGAGCGCAACCCUUAUCCUUUGUUGCCAGCGGUCCGGCCGGGAACUCAAAGGAGACUGCCAGUGAUAAACUGGAGGAAGGUGGGGAUGACGUCAAGUCAUCAUGGCCCUUACGACCAGGGCUACACACGUGCUACAAUGGCGCAUACAAAGAGAAGCGACCUCGCGAGAGCAAGCGGACCUCAUAAAGUGCGUCGUAGUCCGGAUUGGAGUCUGCAACUCGACUCCAUGAAGUCGGAAUCGCUAGUAAUCGUGGAUCAGAAUGCCACGGUGAAUACGUUCCCGGGCCUUGUACACACCGCCCGUCACACCAUGGGAGUGGGUUGCAAAAGAAGUAGGUAGCUUAACCUUCGGGAGGGCGCUUACCACUUUGUGAUUCAUGACUGGGGUGAAGUCGUAACAAGGUAACCGUAGGGGAACCUGCGGUUGGAUCACCUCCUUACCUUAAAGAAGC
This 1791-nucleotide ribosomal RNA is filed under the name Escherichia coli. RNAcentral's name for it is "bacterial SSU rRNA". It matches the Rfam family "Bacterial small subunit ribosomal RNA". The record is from RNAcentral. Lineage: Bacteria; Pseudomonadati; Pseudomonadota; Gammaproteobacteria; Enterobacterales; Enterobacteriaceae.